Molecule: long non-coding RNA, 6338 nt
Filed under: Sus scrofa (pig)
Lineage: Eukaryota; Metazoa; Chordata; Mammalia; Artiodactyla; Suidae
Description: lncRNA (ENSSSCG00025066284.1)
Source: RNAcentral
AUAGAGUGACAGAUUUUAAGGUUUUUAGUUUGAGAGGCUAGAAAAAUGGUGUUCCUGGUGACAAAUGAAACUCUUCAGAAAGGGAGACUGCUUGCAAGGAAAAAUUGAUUUGUUCUUUUUAGAAAAUGUUGACUUUGGAACUGUAACUUGAAAACCAUGUUGAAAGUUUUAGAAUAAUAGAGCAGUGUGGAGAAAUAGAUUUGGGCUAUGAUCAGAACAAAUGAGCUGAAAACUUUCAGUUGUUUUACUUUUUUUCUUUCUUUUUUUUCAUUUCCUUUCUUCCCCCUACCUUUUUUUUUUAAGCAGCAGAAUCUGACCUGAACUCUUAUGAAGCAGUUUAUUAUCUUUAAUUAUCUCAUUUAGAGUGAAUUGUCAUACUUUUUUUUUUUUUGCCGCAGAAGUAAUAACACAUCAUGGUACACACACAUAUUGCUUUUCCAAAAUCUGAAUAUUCUUACUUUUAAAAUACUUCUGGAAGUUCCCAUUGUGGCUCAGCAGGUUAAGAACCUGACUGGUAUCUAUGAGGAUGCAGGGAUCAAACCCACAACCUCAUGGUUCCCAGUCAGAUUCGUUUCUGCUGCGCCAUGGCAGGAACUCUGUUUCCCUGUACCUUUUACUUUCGACUUAAUUCCCUUAAUUAUUUUAUUUUUAAUGACUGCUUGAUAGGUAUUCAGCACUUUGUUCAAUUUUCUUAAUUUGGUUUGACCUAGUCACUUCGAUUUGACACUGUACGUACAGGACAUUGCUUCUCUGAUCUACAGUUUUGUAACUGUUGGGAUUAACCAUCCCUGCGGUGUUGCCUAGGCAGUCAAGUCCAAAACCUGUUUUGUUCCCUAAUGCCACAACCUUCCUAUCCUCUGCCCCAAUUAAUGGCAUUAAAAGAAAAAAAAAAUCUUUCCUUGCAGGUAUCUUACAUAACUGAGAGUCAACGUUUUGGGACAGGAACCAGUUUUGUAACAAACAGCUUUGGCAACUCUGCCCCAAGGCCCUUGCAGCCUACCCAUAUGGAGAAGGGAAGGUGUCACCUGUGCUGGUGGGGGGAGGGGCAGCACUCAGGCUGCCAUGCCAGGUCCUGGGCUUUUUCCUCAGGGACAGGGAGUUUCCCUCUGUCCCCAAGGUGUUAGUGUGGUCACUUCUGUCUAGUCUGUCCAAUGAAAGCCUGGUAAGCACAAUGCUCUGAACUCGCUAAAAGCCAGACAUGGGCAAGGAGUUAAUUAAGAAAUAUAAAUAAAAUAAUUCUGCACUAUGAGAAAAAUGACUCUAGAACAGGACGUCAAAAAGCAAGUGUAUAAUCAAAAAGAAAUGGGGCAGGUCUACUUAGACCACUUUCCUCAGUGACUGACACAAUUUUGCUGGGCACUUACACAGUAUAAUUAAUGUGUGUCAUUCCUAAAGGGACAUAUUACCUGCCUGUACCAUGAAGCCUCUUUAUAUUUAGCCCUGUUCAAUCAUCAAUUAGCUCAUACACGAGCCCCUGAGUAUCAUUAUCUCUGCUUUGCAAACAAGGAAAAGCAAGGGUGUUGGUGCCGAGACUCCAAGCAGUGUGUUACUGGCUCAAUAAAGAAGUCUGGAAUUCCUGAACUUGGGUUUCCUGCACUGUAGAAUCAAUGUAUUACAUUGUUAAACACAGUCAAAUGGAAAUGACCCCAAAACAUGUUGUUCUUGCAGUAUAUUGGCCCUACCCUGUGGUUUUCUACAUGAAGGGAAACUGCUUGGCAUGGUUGGGACUGGAGGAGAGAGAUGGAAAGACAAGGGGGCAUGGCCUGGGGAAAUGGAAGGGAAAUGCCUCAUGUGAUUUCUGGCCUAUAGAGAAAAGUUAUUGGAAUGAAGCAUUUUCAGAACAUCUCUUAAGUCUGAAGGUUACGUGGGUCUUCAGGAAGCAGGGCUGAACAUGCAACUUGGCCUCCCCCGCUAAAAUGUUUCUGGUAAAUCCUAUAUUGCCUUGACCCUAAAGGCAAUAUCCCAAUACCAGGAAUGGCAGAGCAAAGGAUUAUGAACACAGAUGAAACAUUAUAUACCAGUGAGUAGACCUACUUGGCAGGCAUCGCAGAGAUUCCUGCCUGGUCCUCUGAGAAGUAUUGCUGACCUGGUAUUUCCACAGGAUCAUCUCUAUUUUAAUCUUCUCUAUAAAUCAUUCAAAUGAGCACAGAAGCCUUUCUGCUCCAGAUGGGUAAAAAGUACCUGGGGAUUAAUUUCUGGAACAUCAUACCCCAUGAAGAGUCCUCUUCAGAGAGUGUUUGGCACAGUCUCUUGAAUGCAUGUUACUCUCCCAAGAAGGCGACAGCACUAAUAGCCAGGUGACAAGUGGACCGUGGGUCAGGAGUGAACAGGAGCCUCUGUGCUCUUUCAGUUCUCCAAGCUUCUCCCCUUCCCAAAGCAUGUUUUAGCCCUAUUAAGUGCUCCUUAUACCAGGCAUGCAAAGAAGAAAAAGUCCUCUUUAUUUGCAUGUCGUAGACAAAGGAUAGAAUAAACACAAAUAGAUAAUAGCUAAUAGAAGAGAUGAGAGAGAGAGAGGAGGGGAAUGUAGCUAAUUAAGAAUAGAUUUUAAAAAAGAGAGGGAGGGAGAGAAAGAAUCUAGCUAAUUAAGAACAGAUUUUUUUUUUUUUUUGGAGUUCCUGUUGUGGCGCAGUGGUUAACGAAUCCGACUAGGAACCAUGCGGGUUCCAUCCCUGCCCUUGCUCAGUGGGUUAAUGAUCCGGCGUUGCCGUGAGCUGUGGUGUAGGUCGCAGACACAGCUCGGAUCCCCCGUUGCUAUGGCUCUGGUGUAGGGCUGGCAGCUACAGCUCCGAUUCGACCCCUAGCCUGGGAACCUCCAUGUGCCGCAGGAGCAGCCCAAGAAAUGGCUAAAAGACCCAAAUAAAUAAAUAAAAACAGAUUUUUUUAAAAAGAGAAAGAGAGAAACCAAAUCUCUGAUCUUUGGUCUGAUUUAAGAGAGAGGUUUAAUGGUAACUGUCAGAACAUGUCUUUCAUCAGAAUAGGCUGAUCAAUAAAAUGUUCACUGAUUCAGGAUAGUUUUAACCAAGAGAUAUUUACUCUGUGAAGACUAGGCCUAUCGGUAUGGCUUUAGCUUCUCUUUUGCAGGGAGAGAAAAAGAUCCCAGUAUUUUAUGAAAAACUUUACAAAUGUAAGGCAGGACCUGCUUUACAUCUAUAAUCAGAAGUGGAAUUUGAAAAAAAAAUCUUUCAAGUCGUGUUUUUCCUUUAAAGAGUUAUUAGAGUAGGAAGUGAUUUUGAUGAUUUUUUUUUCUUUGUAGGGUAAACUUGAGACUGUCAUGAGCACUAAAUGUGUUUCUAUGGAACUAUGAAUUACUUAGAUACUUUGGAGACCUGGGUGUCUGUGCCUGAAUCAUGAUACUUGGCUGUCUAGAAUUUGGGGAAGUGAGUUGUUCUAGACAGCUGAGCUUUAUAGAUGACCCAGUGUCUAUCCUAGUAGGUUGGAACCUUUAACAUUUUUACUGUUUUGAAUAAAAGCUAUCUAAAGAUAUGUUUAUGCAUUUUUUUUUUUUGCUUUUUGAAAACAAUAUGCUAAACAUAUUUAGCUUUUUCUUGAUGAAGCAUUAUUAUUAUGGAAAACAGCUUUUUUAUGGAAUGUUCUCAGAACUUAACUGAAAUGUAUUGUUCUGUCUGCUAUUGCAGUAAAUUAUUAUUUCUGUGUUAUUCUUAAUAGUUUUUUUCUAGAAAUUUCCUUAUUAUUACCUGUCAUUUCUUACUUUUGUCACUGUAUACUUUUGAAAAAUAUUUUAAAAUGUUUAAAAGGUUUCAAUUAGUUACAUGUUUGGAAAUUAGCUAACAAUACUCUUUAGAAUCUUAUAUAAAGGAAGAGUAAACAGGCUUGGAGUAAGGCCAACACUUCCUUCUCUAACUGUUCUUAUUCCAAAAAAAAAAUUUAUUAUAAAUUUGAAAAUGUACACAAAUGGAGAGAAUAGUAUAAUGGACCACCACACCAUCCCUCUUAACUUUACACAUCAUCCUAUUUCAACAAUUCCCAAUUUCUGAGCAGUCUUAUUUCCUCUAUACCUCCCCUACUCUCCCACCUUACAUCUGCAUUAAAAUCCAUUAUUUCAACAUUACUAUGGAUUCAUGUUUAGCUUAAUAUAGAUACAGCUGUUAACGUAUGGAAAAAAUUAAAUAUAUUUGCAUAUACACCACUUAGUACACACCCAUAUAUUUCCUUGCUCUAGGGCCUAGAAGCAAUGACACCUCAGAAGCAACAAGCACACCAAGAAGCCAGAUCUUGGUUUCUAAUACCAUCCUUCAGUAGCAUGAACCAGGCCUCCUUGAAAAAAGUGGCUGAUUUUAGGACUAGAGCACAAAACAUAAACAAUGAGCCUGGAGUAGCUUAUAGGGCUGAAAAGUAAAAAUGUGCCAGAUGCACACACACACAUAUGCAAUUGAUAGAGAUAUGUCAAAAAGAAACAGGAACUAACUAAAUCCCCAAUAGCCAAAACUGGAACAAUUUGAACAAUAAAAUAAAGCAGCAUUGUAUUAUAACUCAACAUAUAAAAUAAAUAUUGUUGAGUCCCUACUGAUAGAAAUACAUGAAUGAAUGAAUGGAUGGAUGGAGGAGAAGAGACAAAUCUCCUAUGCAGAAGAAUUCUAAAUAAUGUAUGUAGAUAUUGCACUUUUAAGAAGGGGGCAUAACAGCUCCACUGCUUAAGUGUGAGCUCCACAUAGUGACUUCCUUGCAAAGAGCACACCAUAGAAAAGGAUUAAGGAGCCAGUAACUUUCCAGUGGAGAAAUUUGUCAAACACUACCAAAGUCAACAUCAAUAGCCAUAAAUCAUGUUAAUAGUAUGGACCCUUGAUGAAUAAUGAAAUAAUGUUGAAAAUGAAAAUCACAUUGAUCUCUCUGCUCUUUUUCACCAAAACCCAAAACCACAAACCCCAGUCUAAUCGUGAGAAAAACACCAGACAGAUUCCAAUAAGGCUCCUUCUACAAAAGAUCUGACCAGUACUCCUCAAAACUGUCAAGGUCAUCAAAACCAGCGAACGUCUUAGAAAUUCUCAUAGCCAAGAGGAGUCAAAGAGAUAUGACAGUUACUCAUCUAGUUUCAUAUUUGUUGUCUGUGCUAUGAUGGCAACUCUGUAAAAAUUAUAUUAAGGGAAAAUAAAAUGAAAAACAUCACUGUAUUACGCUUACACAAUACUGGGGGACUUUUAAUCUUUAAAAGUGAAUGUGUAAGUAUCAUCUUGUUAAGAAAGUCAAUUCCGGAAGAGGAAAAUAGCAGGAAGAGGAUUAUAUUUCCAGCAAGGGUGACUGUCACUGGAAAGGUUAAGGCACAAGCAAGGGAGAAGAAAGAGAGAACCAGGUGACGGAUACAGUAGAAAUGAAUAAAAAAGAGGAGGGGAAAAUAGGAAAAAAAGGGAUAUACAUACAGUGAAGAGAACGUCAUUAAUAAUAUUCUGGGCUGCAGUAAUCUAGACAAUCUCUGAUUUGUUGUUCCGUUUUGUGAUUCUUUAUUUUCUAUGAAUACUAACAAAAUUAUCAGAAUAAGGUUGAGUCCUUUUCCUUGACUUUUUUCUUUUGCUUCUGUGGUACGUAAGAUAAUUUUCUAUACCUGCAGUUUCCAAACCUGUUUGGGUCUGUUGUCAUCUUCUACACUAACCAUGAAAUAGAUUUGUCCUGCAUAAACUGAGACAAACAUGUGUCCACUGAGGAAUCUAAUUUAUGGGGAGCUUACUUAUGAUUAUAUCUUUAUUAGAUCCCUGCUUGCUUAGAAAUGAUGGAGAAUAUGAUCAUUUUUGCCAGUCCACAUCAUGACUCAAAUGCUAACUUAGAAAAGAUUGAAAAAAAUCUGUAUCUUGCUGUUUAUUAAGUAAUAUAUCUGUGGUCAUUUUUAAGUUCUGUGUUCAGAUAGAGCUGAGCUAUAUUCAGAGUUUUGACCCUGACACCUUCGCCACUGUGUUUGUAAUAUAAACUAUCUUGCCAUUCACAUGCUGAUAUGUCCUAAGAAUCGUUAUGUAUAGUAACUUGCAAAUUUUUAUAAUCGUACUGUAUGUUUUUAAGUGCUUUUACAUUUAAGAAAAGGAAACUUCAUUUAACCAAUAUUUUUUUAAGUUAGUAAGUUUUACUUUUUAUUUGGUAUUUGAACGCAGCUAGAAAACCUGGAUGAAUUCAUGUUAAGAAGUAUGAAAAGAAUAAGAGUUCCCACAGUGGCACAAUGGGAUCAGUGGUAUCUCUGCAGCACCAGGACUCAGGUUCAAUCCCCAGACCGGCACAGUGGGUUAAAGGGUCCAGUGUUGCCACAGCUGUGGCUUGAAUUGAAAUUGAAGCUCAGAUCUGACCCCUGGUCUGGGAACUGCAUAUGCCAGGGGGUGGCCAAAAAAGAAAAAAAAAAA